GUUCCUUUUCCUCGUGAGUAGGACUGUGUGCUUGUUGGCUGCUCUUCAGGAGAAGAGGCUGAUGGGAGUUGACUGCACGCAACCAUGAGCUUCUCUCCUUCUUUCCACUGUCUGUAUUGUGUCUACCUCAGUCCCAAGAUCUUCGAGGACCAGAGAGGCAAGGCAUCCAUCAGGACUCUUAAUGUGAAGCCUCAAAGCCCAGCAUAUCUUCUUCCAUGAACGGAUGGGCUGGAAGGAUGCUGGAGGACUGGAUGAACUACAGGGUGUAUGCCAGGACAAGCAGAUCCAGAUGGUCCUUGAAGAGCAUGGCCUAUGGCUCUGCAGUUCCCGGGUCCUGAAGCACGGAGCUCCGGGACUAAAGGUUCCAGGAGCUCAGGCCCCUCCCCGCCUCUCGUCUUUCUUUGCAUUGGCUCCUGUCUCACUCCCUGAAAGGUCCUCACAAGACAUAGCAUCUGGCCACGUUCUCCGUCAUCUUCCUCCAGUUCUUCCUCUUGUCCAUCAGGACUGUGCACAAUCCCCCAAGUGGCCCUUCUGGUUGGCUCGUCUGUGCUCCAUACUUUCCCUGGACAAAUCCAGCACCCGGCCAGUGCAUACAGAAUGCAUCAGGUCCCCGGCAUCAGUUGAUGGACCUUAACGAUAGCUUCAGACCUAGUGGGACGUGAAGUAAUCCUGGAUGCAGGGCCAACCAUACCUCCGUGACCCAGAGGACCCAUUGUGGUGUGCCCCCCAGGGUUCUUGGGCGCUUUGCUCUUUAUUGCUUAUAUGGGGACCUGAAAGCACUUUCCUGUUUCAAUAUUCUUCCUCUCCCAAAUGUCUUUUAAUUCAGUGUCAGUUUGCUGUAGUUUGGCCUCAUGGACGUUGUCAUCCAGGAAUUCUUCACGUGAGUGUGUAGGUUGGUUGCUCCAUAAUCUAACAUACGGUUGUUUGGGAACGAUACUCUUGGACCGGGCUUUCCUUUAAAUUAAAAAUGUUUUGUUUGUAGAGGAGCUUUAGGUUACUUAAAUUGGCAGCUUCUGUUACCUCUUCAUGAUCGUUAAGAAAACUGGAAUGUUGCUGAAGAGGGCUGAUGCUGUGUGGUGGGAUUGCUCUCCACCUGGUGUUCUUUAUCUUGAAGUUCAAUGGUUUCAUUGGGUUUUAACUUGGCAUUUUUCCUCAUAAGUUUUCCUAUGAACGACAUGUGUAUGACCCAAGAAGUCAGAGCACACUGUAGCUCCAGAAGCUUUUCUUACCCGUGUCUUCGUAGGGACUGUCAGUGGUGUCUGCUUGGUUCUUGACCCAGGGACACCAGUGCUCCUUGGGCUGGAGGGUCUUAGUCUUCAUUGUUUAUCAACUUUCUCUGAUGAAUAAUCAUUGCGGCAAGCCACUCAGUUUCCAGGAACAGCUAGUUUGUCUGAUGUUUUCUCUUGCUUUGUAAUAACAUCAUAAGGCCCUUGUUUUGUCUUAAUCAUUGUGUUAGUCCAUUUUUCACUACUAUAGUGAAAUACUUGAGGCAGGACACCUUUACAAAGAGAUGAGGUUCGGCUUCCAGUUUUAGAUGCUGUAAGCCCAAUCAGCAAUGUGCAGGCUUUGGUGGGGGACCCAUGGCAGAUGCAGGAGUGCAAGGUCACACCUCAGAACAGGAAGUAAAGGUGGCACAGGUUUUUCUAACCAUCCUCGGAGGAUGGCUAGCCAGAGCUUCCCAGGAAACACCUACCCCAUGAUCCAAGGGGUUCCCCCAGGUCCCUCCUCUGAAGGUUUCCCAGUGUGUCAGCACACCAUCAUAUAAACCAGCUUCAAGCACAGCCACUAGCAGUUACUCUGUGUACAAUUCUAUACGGUAUGUAUGUAUGUAUGUAUGUAUGUAUGUAUGUAGUAUGUAUGUAUGUAGUAUGUAUGUAUGCAUGUAUGGAGACAGGCUCUCCCUGGGUGGCCCUGGCUGGCCUAUGAACUCUAUGUACGUUGUCUGGCAUUCUUUUUCUUUGCCUAGCAUUUGCCUUUUCCUAAUAUUCUUUUUCUCUGUCAUCGUGUUUCCUAGUUUGAUUUCUGUUGAUGUGAUAAAACAUCAUGCCAAAAGCUACAUGGGGGAGGAAGGUGUUAAUUCCGGCUCAUAUUUCCAGGUUCUCACAUGGGGAAGUCAAGGCAGCAGGACCUAAAAACAGCUGGUCACGUCACAUACACAGUCUGGAACGGAGAGAAAUGAAUGCGUACACGUCUGUUUGCUUUUGUGCUGCUCAGGUUCCCCGCUCUGAUGUAGUUCAGGAUUUCGUGCCUAGGGGAUGGUGCUGCCCGCAGUGGGCAGAGUCUUCCAACAUCAGUUAACUUUAGACAACUGCACAGACAUGUCCACAGGCCAACCCAGUGCAGACAGCUCCUCACCGAAACAAGUAAAGCCAAUCAGCACACCGUGUCAGGAUGUUUCUGCGACGUGUUCCUUUCCAUCUCCUUCGCUCUUUGGAAGGCCUCUCAGAGCAUAAGCAACCACACAGCGCACCUCUGGUGUCCUUUAAAUUUUACCUGAUUCCUCUUGAUGUCCCGUGCAGUUUGGAACAAUACCCAAAGACUCGUCUUUUCCUGUAAGAAAAUGGAAUUGAGAAAGAAAGUAGAACAGGGGGAGCCACAGCGGGCUCACACUUAGGCCUCUCAAUCCCAAGGACAGACCUUGGCACCCAGAAAGCCUGGAAAGGAAAAAUGGGAUGUUUGAACCAGUGGGAGGGGUCAAGGGUCGGUGACAGGAAUAUCAAGGGUGCUCACUUUUCAGGGGAAGGGACAGCGAAAGGUCUGUUUGCUAUAGAAGGACAUCCCCUGACACCUUUCUGCCUGCGGACGUGCGCUCAUUCAUGGGUCUUCGUUUCUUUUAGAUGGAGUUUCCUGGGAGGCUCGGAGCUCCCUGUUGGCUGUAAAUGUCCACGUAAUGAAGUCCAAGGCACUGACAUCUCCCUUUAUCAGCUAGAAAAGCCAGCCGAUUCAACCCCCGAUUGGACUCAGUUAGAUCUUAAUCCCAGCCUCUGAAGAGUUCUAAAGCAUCCUUGACGUGGCUUCUGCAGAUGUUGGUUCAAGAACAGGAACUGGGCUUCACGUCACUCCGCCUCACAGGACUUCAGGACACCGCAGGCAGAAAGCGACUUCCCUUCUUCCCACUGUGCUGUGCUUGUUUUUAGCCAAAGCCACAGGUGAGUGACCUAGGCUCAGGGAGUGAGCCAGGCUCUGUUUUCUGUCUCAUCGUUGAGUGUGAUCUGUAAGGUACACACCCCAUCGCAUCUAACCUCACCUGCCUUCGCCACCGACAUUAAAGUGGGAUGUGCUCACUCCUCUUCCGCACGGUCACAUCUUGGCCCCUGAGGAUGGGGUCCUCCAUCAGUAAUCCCUCUGUCCCAGCUGAGAGCCGCUUCCUUGAGAAGAGAACCUGUGAAUGCCCGUGCAAAAGAUG
Long non-coding RNA from Peromyscus eremicus (cactus mouse), 3406 nucleotides. RefSeq lists it as uncharacterized. The record is from RefSeq and is a predicted model, not a curated record. The transcript has 3 exons. Lineage: Eukaryota; Metazoa; Chordata; Mammalia; Rodentia; Cricetidae.